Molecule: long non-coding RNA, 166 nt
Organism: Paramisgurnus dabryanus
Lineage: Eukaryota; Metazoa; Chordata; Actinopteri; Cypriniformes; Cobitidae
Source: RefSeq, a predicted model, not a curated record
CCAGCAACACCUAAAACUAUAGUGGAUUCAGGAAACAAAAGUAUGACAAAUUCCUCAGCAACAACUACAUGCUGUACAACAAACACAACCAAGACAAACACAACAACCACCACCAGGACAAACACAACUGAGAAUAAUAAAGGGAAUAAUAAACAGAAUAAUGAAG